GGACGCGUAGCUGAGUUGGCUAAAGCGUGUGCGUGGGUUCGAAUCCCACCGAGGCCU
RNAcentral lists this transfer RNA (57 nucleotides) under Schistocephalus solidus. It matches the Rfam family "tRNA". Rfam says of the family: Transfer RNA (tRNA) molecules are approximately 80 nucleotides in length. Their secondary structure includes four short double-helical elements and three loops (D, anti-codon, and T loops). Further hydrogen bonds mediate the characteristic L-shaped molecular structure. tRNAs have two regions of fundamental functional importance: the anti-codon, which is responsible for specific mRNA codon recognition, and the 3' end, to which the tRNAs corresponding amino acid is attached (by aminoacyl-tRNA synthetases). tRNAs cope with the degeneracy of the genetic code in two manners: having more than one tRNA (with a specific anti-codon) for a particular amino acid; and 'wobble' base-pairing, i.e. permitting non-standard base-pairing at the 3rd anti-codon position. The record is from Rfam by way of RNAcentral. Lineage: Eukaryota; Metazoa; Platyhelminthes; Cestoda; Diphyllobothriidea; Diphyllobothriidae.